Molecule: long non-coding RNA, 1581 nt
Organism: Helianthus annuus (common sunflower)
Lineage: Eukaryota; Viridiplantae; Streptophyta; Magnoliopsida; Asterales; Asteraceae
Exons: 8
Source: RefSeq, a predicted model, not a curated record
CCAUUUGACCAUCUCCCCCAAAUUUUAUAAUUUCCCUCACAUUCUCAUAUUUCCCUCUCCUAUCAAUUUCCACCAGCGCACCACUUGUGAAUCGUGGCUGAGUGACCGACGAACCAUCAUCGCCGCCAGUUGUCGCUCCGCACUUCAACGCUUCAAUCCUCACUUUAGCCCUGGGGCGCAGGGAAGAUAUGUGUUUGAGGGUGUAUAUCAUGUCAGGAGGAUUUCAAAUGGUUUCAACAAUCAAGUUAUCAUGGGAUUCAAAUGGUAUUUAUUAUAGAUAAUUGAGAUCUUCUGACAUCACUAGGAGGACAAAUGGUAUUUCGAGAUCUUACGACCUCAGAAAAAACAAUAUGGAAUUUUAAGGUAUCUAGAGAUCUUGAGUUGGAAGUAAUAAGAGGUUAUGGCUGAGAAUUAUCAUAUAUGAAAUAUACAGAGCUCAAGAUGAACAAACACAUCUAUUACAACUUUAGGUUUAUCAUUCUGGAAAAUUAUAUUAGUGUGUUUAUUUGCCCUAGCUAUUGAGUUAAUUUGUCAAAUUUUAGUUAUGUUUUGAUUAAGUUUUGGAUUAUUGCUUUUAUUUUUACAUAUGGUUAACUAAGCUUACUUGUUUAUGUUCUAUGUGCUUAACUAUAUAAACCAUCUUGUAGCCAUAAACUCGAACUUCUGCAAGACUUAUGAACUUUAUUUUGACCAAUGUUUUCAUUUAUGUGCAACUGAGGUUUAUGCCCAGGAAAUCAAACUUGAGCCAUGCGUGAUGUGUGAACACCUUGACAAAGAACCUCACUUUAAUCUAGACAGAUCAAAGAUGGAGACAUUAUUUGCUUACAGGAACUUCCUAAAGCUGAUGAAAAAUACUGAAAUACUGAUGUUGCCUCAUUUCUAUGAUAUGUGAAAAAUCGUCAGGUUCAGGUUCAUGAUAUUCUUUAUUAUGAAGUGUUAAGACAUCCCUCUGUUUGAAUUAUAAUGUCAGAAAACUUUGAAAGUUGCUUUCCACCAUGUAAACAAGAGGUUACCAAAGCAGAGCACUGUUGGAGAUGCUCUAAAUGAAAUAAAGACAAAGGUUAAAUUAUCUCAUCUAAGUGAUGAACUUAGACCAAUUGCAGUAUUUUCUCAUAAGAUCUACAAGGUCUUAUUGAGAAGAUAAAUAAUCAAAACUGGACAUUACGAGCUGAGGAAGUAAGUUGGCCUCUACUAAGGAGAUUGAGAAUAUAAACUUGUAUUUACAUUUUUUAAAGUUAAGAAAAUAUAUUUAGAACAAUAUUGAAGUGUAGAAGAAAAGAACUCGAGCCCCAAGAUCCUUGAUUCAUGCAUUAUCAUUUCACGAAAGUGGUUGAAAAACGAUACUGAAAGCUAACGACUGACUUUAGAAGCUAUGAUGUGGAAGGUUAUGAAACAACUAUCAGAUAUUGAAGAUUGGUAAAAGUAAAAUGCUUUCGUGUCUCUUUAUUUAGUUAUUGUAAGUUACACUUUGUGGUGACUAUAUUGUUAUUUGAAUUUGGACAAGUGUAUUGAAGUCAACAUAUGACUAUUAAUGGUAUAUGUGGUUAUUAUUGUUUUGGUGUAAUUCAAUUAUUUAUGUUA